Physcomitrium patens is the source of this 1046-nucleotide non-coding RNA. Lineage: Eukaryota; Viridiplantae; Streptophyta; Bryopsida; Funariales; Funariaceae. The record is from RefSeq and is a predicted model, not a curated record.
CUUUCAGCUCUGUUACGAAAAUCGCAUCGGUGACUGUUGAGGUUCUGUUUCACUUCCCACGUUGUCAAAUCUAUUGUUGCACGCAACCAACCCCGCCGGAGUAAAAGUGGUGCUGGUUGGAUAAUAAAGAAAGGCACACAAUUGCUGUUUGUAUAGGUAUUAAAACUCUCAGGGAAGUCCUCUCUCUCUCACUGUCGGCCAUGGUAGUGAUGCUGUUGUGACACACAUACUCUGCUCUUCAGAGUUGGUGCCUGCGAUGUUCAGGGAGAGGAGGGACUGAGCCAUACCGAGUAGUAGUGCUACUACAACGGCUUCCUGUCCAUUCUGAGCUCUUCUUGCAUUGACUAGGAUCGUGCAAUGCGGCCUCCCGACCCUUCCGAGUUGAGGGAGGUCAAUCAGCUCAUCAAAUCAUGGGGUAGAUCACUUCCCAGCUACAAGUUGAGAGGUUAUGGUGGAAAGCGGAGCUUGACAAACCCGUAAUGUGAAUGACGAACCCAGGCUUCCUGUUCGAGUUAAGGUUGUGAACAGCAGCUGGGCCAUCGCCAAAAACACGGAGAAAAUAUAAAGACAACCAACAAUAUCAUUAUUACUUAUUCUUGGAAAAGAUUGCAAUCAAAAGCUACUAUAAGGUAGAGACUUAACAAAACAAUUAAAGGUAUGACUCAAAAAAAACAUGCUUUAUCAUAGACUAGCUUGUAUUAUGAUACAAAAAUAUUUAAAAAAUUAGAUAACAAGCACAUUAGUAUAUUGUUUGAAUCACAAAUUUUAGUAUUAGAAGAAUAUAUUAAAUUUAGACAUUUUUACUUUUAGUUUUAUUUUAAAUAUAAAUAUAUAGAUAUGUAUAUCUAUAUAUAUAUAUAUAUAACAAUGUGUUUGACUAUCCAAUUGGCAGAUUUUGAAUUACAUUUCUUGAGAAAGAAAUGUACCAAAUUUCAAAUAUCUGCUUAGUCAAAGCACAGAUGCACGUGACCACAAUUCAACUAAAUGGACUCACUUCUGGUGUUUCAAAAUUGUAAAUAAAUAAAAUAUUACUAUUUUUGUUUUAA